RNAcentral lists this ribosomal RNA (435 nucleotides) under uncultured bacterium. Its description in RNAcentral is "partial 16S ribosomal RNA". It matches the Rfam family "Bacterial small subunit ribosomal RNA", at positions 29 to 507 of the family's 1533-position model. The record is from RNAcentral.
AGCGAACGCUGGUGGCAGGCUUAACACAUGCAAGUCGAACGGGCAUCUUCGGAUGUCAGUGGCAGACGGGUGAGUAACACGUGGGAACGUACCCUUCGGUUCGGAAUAACUCAGGGAAACUUGAGCUAAUACCGGAUACGCCCUUUUGGGGAAAGGUUUACUGCCGAAGGAUCGGCCCGCGUCUGAUUAGCUUGUUGGUGGGGUAACGGCCUACCAAGGCGACGAUCAGUAGCUGGUCUGAGAGGAUGAUCAGCCACACUGGGACUGAGACACGGCCCAGACUCCUACGGGAGGCAGCAGUGGGGAAUAUUGGACAAUGGGCGCAAGCCUGAUCCAGCCAUGCCGCGUGAGUGAUGAAGGCCUUAGGGUUGUAAAGCUCUUUUGUCCGGGACGAUAAUGACGGUACCGGAAGAAUAAGCCCCGGCUAACUUCGUG